CGGGGGCGAAGUCGAUUUCGCGAUUCGUCGAGCGAGCUUGGAGCUAUCGGCGAAAUACGGUCGUUUUGGCAGUAUCUUGUCCUAAGGAAGGCUAAAGCCUUUUCGUAAAGCUCGUCGAGGAGCGUUUUUAAAGCCUCUACGUUGAUAAAAGGUGGGGGGUGCCAUCCCGAAGCUUUCGAACUCCUUUCUAUGUCUUAGAUUUGUAUUUAAUCUCAUCUCUUUAUGUUGUAUUGUAGGAUUGCAUAGUAGCUCCAUUCCUUAUGCUUUCUAAAUGAUAACCUAGUGUACUUGGAAUGUUUGGUAACUUAGAUAGGUGAGGAUUGAGUCGGAACGUGGAUCCUAUAAUGUGAUAGAAAAGAGAUGAACCCAAUGGGGGUAUUGAUGACAUAGAAAGUAGUGUUUAGUGUAAAAGAACACACGUGUGGCAUCCAAAAGUUAAAUGAUGACGUGUGGCAUUAAUGUAGUGUAUAUGACACUAGAGGUUUGAGAACCUAGGGAUAGGUGGAUCCCUUAGAAAAUGCUUUGUGAACAAUGAAUUUAGAAAAGCUAAAUAGCAUUGCAUGAAUGUCGAGGACAAAUGAUCCCGCGAAAGAUGUUGACUCUAGUUGUGGAGUGCUUCCUCACUUGGAGAGGACUUGAUUGGGUUGUGACCCUAGUUGUAGAGUGUCCUCACUUGGAGAGGAUAGAUCUAGCUCACAGUCUGCGUUUAGGGUGGUAUAGCCAUCCAAUCCACACAUGAAGGGGAUUGUCGUCGAGUACUCCGGAGUGUCGCGCGAUUAGGACCACUUGGAGGUCCGGACCACAUGGAGGUCCGCAGACGGUCCCGGGCUUGGGUGCACUUGGAGCUCCCUCCCCACUUUGGGAUUGAAAGGUGAGUCAUUGACGAGCCCUAGGGCCUCGCCACAGAUUGGGUAAAUGAAAAAGGUUAAAGGUUUAAAUGUCAUUGAAUAUCACUAUUCGAACAUGGAUCGAAUUUGUUAGCAUGGUAGCAAACCUUUAUUAUAUGAUGCUUGCAUUCAUAUUCAUGAUUAUGGGCAUAGUAGCAUAGUUUUUUUUACUAUCGCAUUUACAGCUUUCAGAUAUCUAUCUAUUUAUCUACCCGUUGUUGCUUGUGCCCACUUGGACCUAGUGGGGAGAUCGGCAGAGUCGGCGGCCGAGCCCAUUGGGAACUAUGGAAGAUAGUUCUCACCCCACUCUAUUUCCAGUGGUAGGUUCAGGGUUGCAGAGAUCGGCAGAGUCGGCGGCCGAGCCCAUUGGGAACUAUGGAAGAUAGUUCUCACCCCACUCUAUUUCCAGUGGUAGGUACAGGGUUGCCGAGGGAGGACCGCGGCAAGGGCAUCGUGCCCGAUCAGUGAGACCGUGGUAGUAUAGUAGCUUUCCUUUGCAUUAGCACACCUAUGUAUUGAGAGAGAUUCAUGUAGGUGAGGUGGGAGAGCUAUGUAUUUUGAGGAUCACAUGUAUUCAUUUUGGGAAAAUGAUGUAAAUGUAAAAGAAUGCAACUAUUGUAAUAGUUAGUAAAGUACUCUCUUCAUUUCACUCGUAUAUCUUGUGGAUUACUUGCUCUUCAUAUUGUUGGCACUGUUCGUGCCCUUGUGAGUGCGUAUGUUUAAUUUAAUUUUCUGGGUAAAUUCUUGUACACAUUCCUAUUGUUGAGCCUUGGGCGGACAGGGAAGGUGCUGUCCGUUCGGCAGUCCGCUCGGCACGCCCGAAUCGUGCCAAAUUGGUAGUGGUUUCGGGGCUAGGCAUGACAGCUAUUGUGGUAUCAGAGCAAUGAGAGCAAGUAAAGAGCGAAAGUCUAGAAUGACCUAAGAGAUCCUAGGUUGGUAAGCCCUAAGGUUAUAGGUGCGUGAGCGGAACGUGAACCUAUAGUGAUGGCGGAAGUUGAUUCGAUUGGGUCGAAGUUUGUAAUAUGUCUCUAGUUGCGAUUAGAGACGGAUUCAAGUGGUAUGAGUUCUUGUCUUGAGGUGGUUGUGUCGGCGGCCGACGACAUGAUACCAAGAGUCUAAAAUGAGUACACUUGUGUGUUUCCGCCCGAUUUCGUUGAUGAGUUGUCUUGUGUCAUAAUUUUCGACGAGGUGAAUGGUUAAGACGACUUACCAAGUAUUUGCGUUUCAGGGACUAAUGUCUCCAAGACGCUACACACGUAGAUCUGCCCCUGCACCGACACCUGAGGUGCCCGAGCAGGAGGAACCGAGUGUGAUGGAUCGGUUGCAGGCGCAAGUGGCCGCAUUGACCAAUGUGGUGUAGUGCCAGGAGACCCGAUUUGAGCGGCUCUAGGAGCUCUUGGAGUGGCAGACCGCAGCGGCGGCUGCAACGGCGACGGACAGACGCGAUGUGCCCGCGCCCUUGGCUCAUGUACUUGAGCCAGCUGAGGGUGAGGGUAUAGCGGCGGUUCUGGUGCCUCCGGCGGCAUCGGGAUCGGCUACACCCGAUGUGACGGCCGAAGAUGUGAAAGGGGAGCGCGCAUUGGCGGCUCUUAUCAAGUUCAACAAGUUCCAUCCGCCAACCUUUGAGGGUGAUAAGGCGGAACCGGCGAUGGUCGAGUCUUGGAUCGACUCGAUGGAAACCCUCUUUGAUGAUUUGCGUACUUGGGAGAGGGACAAAGUGUACCUCACCACCCAUUGCUUGGAAAAGGCGGCGAAGGUGUGGUGGAAGCGCGUUAAGCGGGAUCGGCUUCCCGGCCUUCCGCCGAUGUUAUGGGAGGAGUUCAAGCGGGAGAUGUUCGCCAACUAUUUCCCCGAUACGUUGAAGCGGAAGCUCAAGGAGAAGUUCCGCAAGUUAGAGCAAGGGGACCGCUCAGUGGCGGAGUAUGAACAAGAGUUCUCCCAUAUUAUAGACUGCGUCCCGGAUGUUGCAAAGGAUGACCGGGAUCGGGCUGAGUGGUUCUUGCGAGGACUUCGACCGGGAAUCUACAAGGUCGUGCAAAUACUCAAGCUCACGACCUAUGCGGAGGUCUUCGAUCGAGCGUUGUGGGCAGAGCACGUUGAUGCCCACGUUCGGGAGAAGCGUGAGCUUUUGGCCGAGUCCAAGGAUAAGGGCAAGAAACGCCAAGGCUGCGGUAGUUCGGGGGAUCAAGCACGUUACAAGAAACCCCCGAAGUAUCCCCGCACUCAACAGAGGGGCGGUGGAGCGCGGCGAUGCAUCGUAUGCGGCGGAGAUCACCCAGUCUCGCACUGUGAGCAAGGCCGAGGCAAGUGCUACAAGUGUGGGCAAUCGGGGCACUUCAUUCGGGAUUGCCCGGGAGGAGCAGCCUCACCUGCCCCAUCGAUUGCAUCGGUGCCGGCGAUCCCGGCUCACUAUGGAGGAGCUCCACUGACGGCUGCGUCAACGGGACGCACGAUGACCCCGCGUCAACCUGAAAUGGCACGAUCGGCCCCGAGCGAACGGGUAUUUGCCGCUCAGGUCCAAGCUGAGGAACCUGCGGAGGCGGAGGAGCAUCGCCUUAUGGCAGGUAUGGUUUUGAUUAACGGAGUUCGCUCCAGGGCUUUAUUUGAUACAGGAGCCAUGCAUUCAUUCAUUAGUAGGUCAUUCGCACGCAUGCAUGACAUUCUCAUAGAGGCGAGUGACAAGUGGCGAGUUGAGGGCCCUGGGUCGACGUUUAACACCUACACGGAGUGCACCUCGUGCCCGGUGCAAAUAGGCGACUGGAUAAUGCCUAUUCGGACGCUAGGACUCCAGAAACUUGAGGCGUACGAUGUCAUAUUGGGCAUGGACUGGCUCUCGAAAUACCACACCAUGAUUGACUGCAAGAGCAGGGUGAUCUCAUUCCAUGAGCUAGGACAAGAAGAAUUCACCUAUCGGGCUUGUUAGAGCUCGUGCUUCGUCGCGACGGUGUCGGCGACGAGAGCAAGGAAGUUGGUGAACAGCGGUUGCACGGCAUUCUUAGCGACUGUUGUGCAGGUGGAACGAGUAGCUCCAACACUAAAGGAGUUAUCGGUGGUGCGGGAGUUCCCGGAUGUAUUUCCUGCAGAGUUGCCGGGGAUACCACCGGAUCGGGAGAUCGAGUUCGUCAUAGACUUGAUUCCCGGUACCGCACCGAUCUCGAAAGCUCCGUACCGGAUGGCACCGGCGGAACUGAAAGAGUUGAGGAGUCAACUACAAGACCUCCUCGACAAGCGAUUUAUCCUGCCAAGUGUGUCACCGUGGGGAGCCCCGGUAUUGUUUGUGCGGAAGAAGGAUGGAUCGUUUCGAGUCUGCGUAGAUUAUCGAGAGUUGAACAGAGUCACGAUCAAGAACAAGUACCCACUACCUCGAAUUGACGACCUGUUCGAUGAGUUGCAAGGGUCGUGUGUGUACUCGAAGAUAGAUUUGCAAUAUGGCUACCACCAGUUGAAGAUCAAGCCGGAGGAUGUUUAGAAGACCUCGUUCCGCACGCGGUAUGGACACUAUGAAUUCACGGUCAUGCCAUUUGGACUCACGAAUGCUCCAGCGACGUUCAUGGAUUUGAUGAACCGUGUCUUCAGAGAGUAUUUGGACCGAUUUGUCGUGGUCUUUAUAGACGACAUAUUCGUCUAUUCUCAUAGUGACGAGGAACAUGCCGAGCAUUUGAGAAUAGUACUUCAAGUCCUUCGGGAGGAGAAGCUAUAUGCUAAGCUGAAGAAGUGUGACUUCUGGCUUUGUGAAGUCGCCUUCUUAGGGCAUGUAAUUUCCGCGGGUGGAGUUUCUGUAGACCCGAGGAAAGUUGAGGCGAUCAAGGAUUGGCCACGACCGACAAAUGUCACGGAGGUUCGAAGCUUCAUGGGCUUAGCGGCCUAUUAUAGGUGGUUUGUGGAAGGCUUUUCCAAGAUAGUGAUUCCACUUACCCGCCUGACUCAGAAAGGCACCAAGUUUGCUUGGAGCGAGGAGUGCGACCGGAGUUUCAGAGAGUUGAAGCAAAGACUGACUUCGACUCCGGUGCUCGCUCUACCGGUGCAAGGCGAAGACUUCGUAGUCUACAGCGAUGCUCCUAUCUAGGAUUGGGGUGUGUUUUGAUGCAACAUGGGAAGGUAAUUGCCUAUGCAUCCCGUCGGCUGAAGAGCUAUGAGAAGAACUACCCCAUCCAUGAUUUGGAGCUAGCGGCGGUGAUUUUCGCCCUGAAGUUAUGGAGGCAGUACUUAUAUGGUGCCCAUUGUGAGAUUUAUACCGACCACAACAGCUUGAAGUACUUGUUUACACAGAAGGAGCUCAAUAUGCGUCAGCGGCGGUAGUUAGAAUUGUUAAAGGAUUACGACGUUGAUAUCCUUUACCACCCCGGGAAGGCAAAUGUGAUCGCGGACGCACUUAGUAGGAAGUCGGCGAAGAACCUCGCCUUUGAUGUUACCCAGCAAACACCCCUAUGGCUGGAUAUGGAGCGAUUGUGUAAUACACUGGAUCUUAGCAAAUCGCAAGAUUCGAGUGUUUGAUCUGUAUGUGGAGCCUUUCCACAGUUUUUGGAGGGUCGUUGAUAGUGUUCCGACCCCUGGCACGCACCCCGAGAAUGUUGGUUUGAGACUUGGCACCAAAAUUCCAAAAUCGGAAUUUUUGGACAGCUCUCGGGUAGCCUGCAGCAGGGCUUGUACCGGAACAAGACUGGCCUUGUACCGGUACAAGGGUUGAUGGUUGUACCGGUAUAGGGCUGAUGGUUGUACCGGUACAAGGUCGGGUUUGUACCGGUACAAGGGCCAGUUCUCAGCCAACCCGAGGCUCGGGUUUGGCAUUUUCGCAGAGCUUGUACCGGUACAAGGGCCCGUGUACCGGUACAAGGUGGCUGAAUGUGAGCAGUUUGGUCUGCAGGGGUGUUUUUGCUAUUGUAGCACUUCUAUAAGUGCACCCCACGCCCCUUAGGGCCUCCCCUAUGCAGAGACCAGCAGGAGUUGAGGUAGGAGGAGCUCUCUCUCCCUUCCUUUGCAUUUUUACUCCUUUUGCUUGGUUUUUAUUGGGUUUUCUCUCCUCUAUUUGCAUCUUGGUGGCUUCUCCACCAUUGUUGAUGGCUUAGAGCUUGGACGAGGAGCUAGUGCUGCAGAGAUCUUUCAACAUCACUAGAUUGGAGCUAAGUUUUGGAGCUUCUUGGAGUGUUUAGAGACUUGAUUUCUCCCUUUGAUCCUUGAUUUGAGGUUUUUGAGAUGAAACCUAGAAUGAGGUUUUAGGGCUUAAAUUGGGCAUUUUGAAUCUAGGCUCUUGGAGCUAGUUUGAGUGAUUUAGAGGCUUCGAUUUGUUGGAUGGAAGCUGGCUAGCUUAUCUUUUGGAGCUUUAGAGGAGAUUUUUGCACUAGAGUGAGUUUCCUCACCUAUCUGAUUAGCUUAAUGAUUGAGCUAGGUACUUAUUCUUUUGGCUUCGUAUGACACAUGUUUUUAUACCUCUAGGUACUAGAGAGACUAGAGGACACCCUCGUGGGAGCGAACGAGGAGUUUCGUUGUCAUCGGUGGGUUGGCUUCGUGGAAAUGGGGCGAAAUGGCCCUAUGCUCUUUCUAUUUAUUGUAAAAUAUUUUUAAAUUCAUUUCUAUAGCUAAAUGGAAUUUAUAUGAAUUUUAGAGCACUUAAAAUGCAUGGCCUUGUGUAUUUUAAAAUUUUACUAUAUAAGUAGAGCUAUAUGAGUAGAAUGCAUGCAUAUGGGAAAAGUGUUUUAAUUGCAAGUGGAAAACACAUCAUUAUGAGGAUCAUGACUUGGACCAUGUACUUUGAAAUAUAGUUGCAUGCUUUGACAUAGAAAAACAAGAGUGUCAUCAAGGAGGCACUUGAAACUAGUAAACUAUUAAACUGCAACAUAGAGACAUAUUAAUAGGCCCACUACGUAUCUGCUAUAUUCCAUGUUAGAGACAUGAUGACAUAGAGAAUAGCCAUUGAGAUACUUGGAUAAUCCAUGUUGUUAGACAUGAGGACUUGGUACAUGAGACGAAUCAUUGCUUGCUUUGCCAUUUGUGCUCAUUGCACAUGGCUUGUGAGGGUCGCUCCUACAAGCGCACUCCGGAGAUAGCCAUCGCGAUAUAUGCUCGCUCGGUGUUGGAUUGGCGCCGAAAGUGGAUUGCGUGGGGGAGGCUCAUCCCUAGGUGGGAAUGUUGACUACCACGGGGCCAUUAGCAUGCGCAACGGCAGACAGCCUUCGGGUGGGUCUUAUAUGAUUUGGACUUGGUGACAGAAUAUGCUAUGUGAACCUUAAUAACUGCUAAAGUGGGCUUGACUAGAAUAGUAAACAAUGACAUCUUUACUAUUACAUUGUGGACUUUGGGUAGUUGCAUAAUCAUGCUUUAUAUGUUGGGUGUUCAUGUGCAUAUAGCUAGUAGUUGCUUCCUUACUUAUGUAAAUUAUGCUAAGUAUAGGUAUCAUGUUUAUUGGGUGCUCGUUUAUUUAUUUACUUACCGUGCAUUUAUCGCUUUUGUUAUAUGUACACUGACCCUUUUUCUAUGGUUUCGGGCCUAGUGGUGCAUUUUACUGAAGUCAGUAAUUGCCCACUGGGAACUAUUUUUAAUAGUUCUCACGUCCCCCGUUUACUUUUCAGAGCCUUCGGCACCGGCGGAGGCACGGGAUCGCGGCAAGGGUGUUGCGUAGCUAGCUCGCGGAGAGUUCUUUUGCGCUAGGUGGUUACUCCUCCAUUUUAUAUUUUGUGAGAGAGAGAGAGGUUUUGUACCAUGUAUAGAGAGACCACCUUGUACUCCUUUUAGCAUUUGUUAUGGGAUCCCUAUUGUACUCAUUUUAUGUUUUUAUGUAGUGGACUUUCAGCUUUAUGUCCUUUCCUUGUUAUAGAACUAGUUAUACAAUGCUCUGAUAUCACCAGACCUCUUGUAUUAUUGUUUUAUCUAUCGCAAUUUUUGUAGAUGCCUUAUAUGUUUUAGAUGUAUGGCGGGUCUGGGCACGCACCGGGUAGGCUUCCGCUGAGCCCCGGGGCGUGACAGAUUGGACCUUGAAAUGGUCGCUCCCGAGGUCCCGACUCAGUUGAUGGCACUCGUCGUCCAACCGACCUUGUUGGAGAGGAUUAAAGAUCUGCAACCUGUGGACCCAGAACUCCAAAAGGUGCGGCGAAACAUCGAGGAUGGUCGAGAUGGCGAUUUCAGUAUAGACGCCGAUGGUACACUUCGGUUUCGAAACCGAUGGUGUGUGCCGAAGAAUGGAGAGCUUCACGAGCUAAUUCUACAAGAAGCACACCGAUCUCCAUAUGCCGAUCACCCGGGCGGCACCAAGAUGUAUCAGGGAUUGAAAAUGCACUAUUGGUGGCUGGGAAUGAAAGGCGAUAUUGGUCGCUUUGUGGCGAAGUGCUUAACGUGCUAACAAGUGAAAGCAGAGCGUCGAUUUCCAGCGGGAAAUCUUCAAAGCCUACCAAUCCUCGUUUGGAAAUAAGAGGAUAUAUCAAUGGACUUCGUGGUCGGCUUGCCUCGCUCAACAGGCGGCCACAAUGCAAUUUGGGUAAUUAUGGACCGAUUGACGAAGUCGGCUCACUUCUUGCCGAUCCACACCACGUGGUCGGGUGACAAGUUAGCGCAGGUAUACCUCGACGAGAUAGUGAGACUGCAUGGGGUGCCGAAAUCGAUCGUGUCGGAUCGUGACCCCCGAUUCACUUCACACUUCUAGAAAAGCCUGCAGGAAGCCCUUGGCACGCGACUCGACUUUAGCACACAUUUCAUCCUCAGACCGAUGGGCAAACAGAGAGAACCAUCCAAACUCUAGAGGACAUGUUGCGAGCGUGUGUCAUCGACUAUAAAGGAAGUUGGUAUGACCACCUACCUAUGGCCGAGUUCGCCUACAACAAUAGUUAUCAUGCUAGUGUGGAGAUGGCACCGUUCGAGGCUCUUUAUGGGCGAACCUGUCGGUCUCCUAUACACUGGAGCGAUGUAGGUGAGCGUACAGAGUUCGGCCCCGAUGUUUUGCGAGAAGCGGAGGAGAAAGUCCGCCUUGCUGGCAAGAGGUUACUCACGGCGCAGUCGAGACAGCAAAGCUAUGCAGAUAGACGCCGACGAGAUAUAGAGUUCGCGGUGGGCGACCGAGUAUUCUUGAAAGUUUCACCGAUGCGGGGUGUGAAGCGGUUUGGAGUGCGGGGAAAACUGAGUCCCCGGUACAUUGGACCCUAUGAAAUAUUGGAGCGAGUAGGCACGGUGGCGUAUCGACUUGCCUUGCCGCCAAAGCUCGCAGAUGUGCACAAUGUGUUCCAUGUCUCCAAUCUCCGCAAGUAUAUUCAAGACCCCGAGCACGCAAUGCUAUAUGAGCCGCCGGAACUUCAAGAAGACUUGAGCUAUGAAGAGUUUCCGGUGGGGGUAAUCGCCCGAGAGGUGCGAAAGUUGAGAAAUCGAGAAAUUCCCUAUAUGAAGGUUAGGUGGAGCAAUCAUGAUGAUCGCAAGGCCACCUGGGAACUCGAGGAGCUGAUGAGAAAGCACCAUCCUCAUCUGUUUGAGGAGUGAGGUAUGGGUUUAAAUUAAAGUUAGAAAAUUUGUUCGUUUCGAAGACGAAACUCCUUUUAAGGAGGGGAGGAUGUAAGGAAGCGAAUUCUCAAAAUUCGAGAGUUGUACUUCGUCCAGGAUCGACUAUUUGUCGAGAGAAUACCCUUUGGGGAAAUUAAAGAUGUCCAAAGCACAAAAAGUGCCUUAGAGUUGAGUCCACGAGAGCUAAUGGUGCAAACAGCAUUAUUGGGUUGAUGUUGCUCUCGGGGACCGGUCUCUGGAGGUGAGAGACCGGUUCCAUUGGCUGGGUAUAGUGGGGUUGCUUAGUGCAACCGGUCCCUGGCAGGGAGGGACCGGUUCCCGAACGUGGUCCCAACGAGAAAUGCCGAAAUUUGGUUAAGUCCUGAAAAUCAAGCUCUCGGGGACCGGUCUCUCAGCCGAGGACCGGUCUCCCGAUGACCGGUGUCCCUGGGAAAGACCGGUUCCCGAACGCGUACGCCCGAGGGGAGCUCUCGGGGACCGGUCCCAAGUCGGGGAGACCGGUCCCUCCGCGCGAAUUCUGCCCAGUGAGGGCUGUGUAAUGGAUGGAAAAUGGAGGGGUUUAAGUGCAAAAUGGCCUUGAUGUGAGGGGUGUAUAUGGAAAUAACCCUCUCCCUCGGCCCCCUCUCAUCUCAUUUCCCUCUCUCACACUCACUUUCUCUCUUGCUCUCUCUCUCUCUAGAAAGGAAAGGAAAAGAAGAAGAACAAGAAGGAGAGAAGGAAAAUAAGAGGAAGGAAAGGAAGGAGAAGAAGAAGGAGAUCAAGAAGAAGGCCUUGGGCAUCUUCCUUUCCCUCUCCUCUUCCCAUCGGUGUAGCACUUGAGGUAAGCUACUAAACCCUAGCUUUGUAAACUUAGGGUUUUUGGGUUUUUAUGCUUUGGAAUGGGUCAAAUGGAUCCCAAGCAUGCUUCUAAAUAGAUCAAUCCCAAAAAUCUAGGGUUUUAUUGGUGGUUGCUACAUGUGCAACCUAGGGCUCCAAAUAGGGGCAUUUUGUAAAGUAUGAGAUUGAUCUCAUUUGAGGCCUUGUAAACCUAAUCGAUAGGUGCCCAAACGUGGGGGCGAAGUCGAUUUCGCGAUUCGUCGCGAAAUAUGGCCGUUUUGGCACUAUCUUGGACUAAGAAAGGCUAAAGCCUUUUCGUAAAGCUCGCCGAGGAGCGUUUUUAAAGCCUCUACGUUGAUAAAAGAUGGGGGGUGCCAUCCCGAAGCUUUCGAACUCCUUUCUAUGUCUUAGAUUUGCAUUUAAUCUCAUCUCUUCAUGUUGCAUUGUAGGAUUGCAAAGUAGCUCCAUUCCUUAUGCUUUCUAAAUGAUAACCUAAUGUACUUGAAACGCUUGGCAAUUUAGAUAGGUGAGGAUUGGAUCGGAACGUGGACCACUUGGAGGUCCGGACCUCAUGGAGGUCCGCAGACGGUCCCGGGCUUGGGUACACUUGGAGCUCUCUCCCCACUUUGGGAUUGAAAGGUGAGUCAUUGACGAGCCCUAGGGCCUCGCCACAGAUUCGGUAAAUGGUAAGUUAAAGGUUUAAAUGUCAUUGAACAUCACUAUUCGAACAUGGAUCGAAUUUGUUAGCAUGGUAGCAAACCUUUAUUAUAUGAUGCAUGCAUUCAUAUUCAUGAUUAUGGGCAUAGUAGCAUAGUUUUUCUUACUAUCGCAUUUACAGCUUUCAGAUAUCUAUCUAUCUAUCUACCCGUUGUUGCUUGUGCCCACUUGGACCUAGUGGGGAGAUCGGCAGAGUCGGCGGCCGAGCCCACUGGGAACUAUGGAAGAUAGUUCUUACCCCACUCUAUUUCCA
RNAcentral lists this long non-coding RNA (11151 nucleotides) under Ananas comosus (pineapple). RNAcentral describes it as "long non-coding RNA (ACOM_LNC010183)". The record is from RNAcentral. Lineage: Eukaryota; Viridiplantae; Streptophyta; Magnoliopsida; Poales; Bromeliaceae.